This is a long non-coding RNA of Suricata suricatta (meerkat), 822 nucleotides long. RefSeq lists it as uncharacterized. Lineage: Eukaryota; Metazoa; Chordata; Mammalia; Carnivora; Herpestidae. The record is from RefSeq and is a predicted model, not a curated record. The transcript has 4 exons.
UUGGUGUAUGUGCAAACAGAACGAACAUAGACCGAUAUCCCCCCAACCCUCACACCUGGAUGUCCCUAAGGAAAAAAGAAAUUACUGCUUUACCGGAACAAUCAAUGGCUGUAAGCUACGGGCGGAAACCACCCAGAACCGAUUCGUGCAAGCCAGCCCCAGGGCUCCUGGUUCAUCUGGAAGCAUAGUCUCCAAGUUGGGAUGAGAGGUCUGUGUCCUCCGGUCACCCCUGCCUCAGCACUUUCCCAGGGGGGCACAACCAUGGGACAGUCCUGCCAGACAGAGACACCAAUUCUGGACUUUGAAAACAGAACUAGUAACACAAAGAAAGGACCAGAAGAACUCUACAAGACAGCGGGAGAGGAUGCAGGAGCCCACCUCCUCGGCAGCAGAGAGGCAUUGGCAGCGUUGGAAUCCAGAAGGAGCAGUCUGUGGUUCAAGUUCAGAUGUGGUCCCAGCUUCAGAAGACUUCUUUCUACAGAAGUUCUAGACUGGGAUUUUGGGCAUUGCUCCUGGCUGGAGGUCCCAGACCUGGUCCCAGAGAUACCGUGAGAUACCCAGUACCCUUUCGUUGUUAGUAACUGGUUCAAAUGAAAAAAAAAAAUGCAUACUUUGCAUAUGUGUUCAUUUUUGUGCAAACAUGCAUAAACCCUUUAUCCUCUCACCCUCCAUGCCUCUUGGUACAAUUUACUUACCGUAACAUUCACACGUUGCGGUUGAGCAGAGCAAUGGGUUUUAGUGAAUUUAUAGCGCUAUAUAACCACCAUCUAGUUGGAUUUUUAUUUUGUUUGAGUAUGUAGUUCUAGGAAUUCUGAUCCAUCU